GCGGAUGUGGCGGAAUUGGCAGACGCACCAGAUUUAGGCUCUGGCGAAGAGAUUCGUGGGGGUUCAAGUCCCUUCAUCCGCA
Molecule: transfer RNA, 82 nt
Filed under: Granulicatella sp. WM01
Lineage: Bacteria; Bacillati; Bacillota; Bacilli; Lactobacillales; Carnobacteriaceae
Also listed under: 5 other names
Rfam family: tRNA
About the family: Transfer RNA (tRNA) molecules are approximately 80 nucleotides in length.
Source: Rfam by way of RNAcentral